RNAcentral lists this ribosomal RNA (226 nucleotides) under Misgurnus fossilis. Lineage: Eukaryota; Metazoa; Chordata; Actinopteri; Cypriniformes; Cobitidae. The record is from RNAcentral.
UUUUCGUUGAUGUUUCGGCGUUCUCGCAUUAGUUCUUGAAGUGGCUCUCGAAUCGAGCUAACACUCGCUUACGGCCACAACACCCUGAGCACGCCCGCUCUCCUUUGAUCUCGGAGGCCAAGCAGGGUCGGGCCUAGUAAGUACUUGGAUUUGAGACCGCCUGGGAAUACCAGGUGAUGUAAGCAUUUAUGUAUUUAUUUUUUUUUAAAUGCGCCUUGUCUGUAAG